GACCGGGUUUUAGUAUAUACGAGUUUUUUGAAAUAAAAAAAGCAAUACCGCCCUCUUGUUCUAUCAAGAGGGCGGUAUUGCUUUUUUUAUAUUUCAGACUGUUUUAGAUAAACAAAUUUUUUUGAAUGAUCAAAAAGGAAUCCUUUGAAAUAAAUAAAAUAAAAUUGGCGG
This 171-nucleotide unclassified non-coding RNA is filed under the name Bifora radians. RNAcentral describes it as "psbA-trnH intergenic spacer". Lineage: Eukaryota; Viridiplantae; Streptophyta; Magnoliopsida; Apiales; Apiaceae. The record is from RNAcentral.